Molecule: ribosomal RNA, 392 nt
Filed under: uncultured bacterium
Lineage: Bacteria
Description: partial 16S ribosomal RNA
Rfam family: Bacterial small subunit ribosomal RNA
Source: RNAcentral
AUACGGAGGAUGCGAGCGUUAUCCGGAUUUAUUGGGUUUAAAGGGAGUGUAGGUGGGAUAUUAAGUCAGCUGUGAAAGUUUGGGGCUCAACCUUAAAAUUGCAGUUGAUACUGGUUUCCUUGAGUACGGUACAGGUGGGCGGAAUUCGUGGUGUAGCGGUGAAAUGCUUAGAUAUCACGAAGAACUCCGAUCGCGAAGGCAGCUCACCGGGCCGGAACUGACACUGAUGCUCGAAAGUGCGGGUAUCAAACAGGAUUAGAUACCCUGGUAGUCCGCACAGUAAACGAUGAAUACUCGCUGUUUGCGAUACACUGUAAGCGGCCAAGCGAAAGCGUUAAGUAUUCCACCUGGGGAGUACGCCGGCAUCGGUGAAACUCAAAUGAAUUGACGGG